RNAcentral lists this ribosomal RNA (207 nucleotides) under uncultured bacterium. RNAcentral's name for it is "partial 16S ribosomal RNA". It matches the Rfam family "Bacterial small subunit ribosomal RNA", at positions 568 to 774 of the family's 1533-position model. The record is from RNAcentral.
CGCGUAGGCGGCCGAUUAAGUCGGGGGUGAAAGCCUGUGGCUCAACCACAGAAUUGCCUUCGAUACUGGUUGGCUUGAGACCGGAAGAGGACAGCGGAACUGCGAGUGUAGAGGUGAAAUUCGUAGAUAUUCGCAAGAACACCAGUGGCGAAGGCGGCUGUCUGGUCCGGUUCUGACGCUGAGGCGCGAAAGCAUGGGUAGCAAACA